AUAGUUUGAUGCUGGCUCAGAAUGAACGCUGGCGGCGUGCUUAACACAUGCAAGUUGAGCGGUAAGGCCCCUUCGGGGGUACACGAGCAGCGAACGGGUGAGUAACGCGUGGGUAAUCUACCCAUGAGGUGGAGGAUAGCCUCGGGAAACCGGGGGUAAUACUGCAUACGUCCCGACUGACACAAGUCUAUCGGGGGAAAGGCGGGGAUCUUCGGACCUGUCGCCUCUGGAUGAGCCCGCGUCCGAUUAGCUUGUUGGUGAGGUAAUGGCUCACCAAGGCAUCGAUCGGUAGCCGGCCUGAGAGGGUGAACGGCCACAUUGGGACUGAGACACGGCCCAGACUCCUACGGGAGGCAGCAGUGGGGAAUUUUGGGCAAUGGGCGAAAGCCUGACCCAGCGACGCCGCGUGGAGGAUGAAGGCCUUCGGGUUGUAAACUCCUGUCAGGUGGGAAGAAGAGUCCUGUGGAUAAUACUCACAGGGAAUUGACGGUACCACCAAAGGAAGCCCCGGCUAACUCCGUGCCAGCAGCCGCGGCAAUACGGAGGGGGCAAGCGUUAUUCGGAUUUACUGGGCGUAAAGCGCACGUAGGCGGCAGUGUAAGUCACAGGUGAAAUCCCUCGGCUCAACCGAGGAACCGCCUGCGAAACUGCAUUGCUUGAGUCCGGGAGGGGGGAGCGGAAUUCCCAGUGUAGCGGUGAAAUGCGUAGAUACUGGGAGGAACACCGGUGGCGAAGGCGGCUCCCUGGACCGGU
Molecule: ribosomal RNA, 753 nt
Filed under: uncultured Acidobacteriaceae bacterium
Lineage: Bacteria; Pseudomonadati; Acidobacteriota; Terriglobia; Terriglobales; Acidobacteriaceae
Description: bacterial SSU rRNA
Rfam family: Bacterial small subunit ribosomal RNA
Source: RNAcentral